CCUACGGGAGGCAGCAGUGAGGAAUAUUGGUCAAUGGUCGGGAGACUGAACCAGCCAAGCCGCGUGAGGGAUGAAGGUACAGAGUAUCGUAAACCUCUUUUGUCAGGGAACAAAGGCGGGGACGUGUCCCCGGAUGAGUGUACCUGAAGAAAAAGCAUCGGCUAACUCCGUGCCAGCAGCCGCGGUAAUACGGAGGAGGAGAGCGUUAUCCGGGUGUAUUGGGGUUAAAGGGUGCGCAGGCGGUCUGUUCAGUCAGCGGUCAAAGCCCGGGGCCAAACCCCGGCCCGCCGUUGAAACUGGCAGUCUCGAGUUGGAGAGAAGUAUGCGGAAUGCGCGGUGUAGCGGUGAAAUGCAUAGAGAUCGCGCAGAACGCAGAUUGCGAAGGCAGCAUGACGGCUCCACACUGACGCGGAGGCACGAAAGCGUGGGUAUCGAACAGGAUUAGAUACCCCUGUAGUC
RNAcentral lists this ribosomal RNA (459 nucleotides) under uncultured bacterium. RNAcentral's name for it is "partial 16S ribosomal RNA". It matches the Rfam family "Bacterial small subunit ribosomal RNA", at positions 338 to 795 of the family's 1533-position model. The record is from RNAcentral.